UGGGGAAUAUUGGACAAUGGGGGAAACCCUGAUCCAGCCAUGCCGCGUGAGUGAUGAAGGCCCUAGGGUUGUAAAGCUCUUUUACCAGGGAUGAUAAUGACAGUACCUGGAGAAUAAGCUCCGGCUAACUCCGUGCCAGCAGCCGCGGUAAUACGGAGGGAGCUAGCGUUGUUCGGAAUCACUGGGCGUAAAGCGCGCGUAGGCGGCUACUUAAGUCAGAGGUGAAAGCCCGGGGCUCAACCCUGGAACUGCCUUUGAAACUAGGUAGCUAGAAUCCUGGAGAGGUGAGUGGAAUUCCGAGUGUAGAGGUGAAAUUCGUAGAUAUUCGGAAGAACACCAGUGGCGAAGGCGACUCACUGGACAGGUAUUGACGCUGAGGUGCGAAAGCGUGGGGAGCAAACAGGAUUAGAUACCCCCGUAGUCC
This 424-nucleotide ribosomal RNA is filed under the name uncultured prokaryote. RNAcentral describes it as "bacterial SSU rRNA". It matches the Rfam family "Bacterial small subunit ribosomal RNA", at positions 355 to 796 of the family's 1533-position model. The record is from RNAcentral.